AUUAUUUAUUUUAAUAUAAAAUAUUCAAUUUCGGUUUGAAAGAUAAUUUUUUAAUUAAUAAUUUA
Molecule: transfer RNA, 65 nt
Filed under: Didemnum vexillum
Lineage: Eukaryota; Metazoa; Chordata; Ascidiacea; Aplousobranchia; Didemnidae
Description: tRNA-Arg
Source: RNAcentral